This 384-nucleotide long non-coding RNA is filed under the name Theobroma cacao (cacao). Its description in RNAcentral is "long non-coding RNA (TCAC_LNC003718)". Lineage: Eukaryota; Viridiplantae; Streptophyta; Magnoliopsida; Malvales; Malvaceae. The record is from RNAcentral.
CUCAGGACAGUUUGUAGAUAGUCGAGUAGGACGAGAACUAAGCUCGAAACUGCAUUAUAGAAAGUAAGAGUUCACAGUCUUACAUCCUCUUGGUCAAUUGGAGCCCACGUGUCAUUGCAGAUCAAAACUUAUAUUUUGGUUAUCUGUAUUUCUAUUCAUACAAUUUUUACUUUACUUUCAUGUGCGAAAAAUUAUUUACGAAUAUUUCUAUAAAAAUUUAUUUUAUGAGAAAAUAGAAUAUUUUAUUGAUUAUUUUUGAAUAGUACUAGUUGUUAACAAUUUGCUUUCAAAUGAACGUUUUAGAUAUUUAAUUUAUUUUUAAAUCAUUAAAUAUAUAUUUUCUACUCACCUACUACAUUUUUAACAAGUUUUGAGAUUUUUGAC